Molecule: long non-coding RNA, 906 nt
Organism: Perca flavescens (yellow perch)
Lineage: Eukaryota; Metazoa; Chordata; Actinopteri; Perciformes; Percidae
Exons: 4
Source: RefSeq, a predicted model, not a curated record
CAGAAACUACUUAAACAGUCACCAAGGACUGCUUUCUUGAUUAUUUUAACUCAUGUUUCAAUUUCAAAUAAGACAUAUCAACUUUUUAGAUGAAUGGAUGAAUUCUAGGAUGAUACUAGUAUUAGAUUAUGGGUUACCAAUGAAGUUUUAACCUGCUGAAGAGAGGAAACAUGUCACAAUGAUUACGCAGCCAUCAGCUACUACGAGGGAUGUAGGUAUCCAGCACACACCAUGCGGUCAGUGAUCAUGCCGGGGUAGGAACCAUCACAGUCCUUGUUAGACAGAAUGGGGACUUCCACACACUGAAGCAGUGGGCAGCAGAGACCAUCCACUGUUCGUUGAUGAGGGAUCCGCCGCAGAAGUGGUAGCCGACAUUGAGAGACACCUGCCAGGGUUGAGAGUGGGCUGGACACUGGUAGCCACCCACAAUCCUGUCAUCUGUAGGUGCUGCAGCUGUGGUGUAAAGAAAAUACAAAUGAUUUAUAUUUAUCAUAGUUACAAUUCUUUUUUACCCUUAAACUGUUGGACACACUGAACAUGCUUCACCUGCAGCGCCCAGAAGUGUGACAACAAUCAGGCCAAUCAUCGUGUCUAACUCAAACCUUCCUACGACCAGACUGGAUGUGAAUGAUCACUGCAUUUAUACAUAAACUCCUCCGUGUCUUUCCAAGCACUCCUUCUUCCUCCAUUCCUCCACCCAAUUCCCCCCACCCACAUCCCCAAAUCUCCCGCCCCAAUCCCUGCCUUAUACAAUAAUAACCUUAUCUUCUUAUGUGCCACGUUCAUCAUUUCAUUUAAUAAGUGAGCCACAUUUUACAUAGUAUUGGCCUUGGAGUGUUUUCUGUACUCUGUUUUUUGACAGAUAAUUUUCUGCACCUAUCACCUAAAUAAAUGUGCUUAUUCGUU